GCCAUUUUUAAAGACAAAUUGAACAAGUCAAGACGUGGGUGCCUUGUUCUCCAACAAAUCCAAUGUUUGAUUUGACAGAGUUCCAAGGACUCAACUACCACGACAAAUGGAUGAUGUUGCCCACUAUGACGGGUGGAGAGAUGGACCUCACUUGGAGUAUCAUGUUGCCGCAAUAUAAUGAGCUGAUGAAAUGGAUGAUAACACACAGAAGGGGAUCUAUUUGAGAUGGCUACUGAGACAUCUCAUCCUACGAGCCAUGUUAUCCAAGCAGAUCGUCCUUUGUUUAACUGCCACUGCAACCUAGAGCAUGGUUUAAGAAAUGUCUGCACAUCGUUUAGAGAUGGUCAAAACCUCCGAUGCGUGAGGGAAGCUGGCUGAAGCAUCUUCACGUCCAUGGCAUGGAGAAGUUCGAGACUGAGGGCGGAUUACUUUGCUGCAGCAUAUGUGAAAUGAAAGCUUGAUGAUUGCUGUACACAAAACAGUUUGUGUUCUUUUGGUUUAGUUUUUUUUUUUUGGGGGGGGGGGAUUGGGCCACUUGGUUACUAAAUUAACUUUCUUUUUAUCAAACAAUGACAGACACAGCCUAACAUAUAACUUAAGUUUAUCUUUUCCAUAUGUCCUUAGGUCAAGCCGGUCUGGCAUCUGUCUGUCUAGAGAGACAAUAGAAUAUUGCGCAGGCAGUUUUUAUUUAUGCAAGUUAGUUCUUAGAGGUGCGGCUCCAAUCCAAUCCUACAGUUGCUGCAGAUAUGUGUCAUGUCUAGCCGAGUGGUCGGCUGUGUGGUUGACUGUUGUUGGCGUUCUUCUUCGCCUCCCCCUGUUCAACUCUCCUUUGGUCGCUCCUCUGUGUACUUGGCCUCACAAUAUGACGCCCCUUGGUUUGAUAAAUAUAUUCGGAAUCAUUGAUUACCUUUAUUUAAAUGACUCUUUUCCACAUGUCCAUGACUUCUGCACUUUGACCCAGCUUCCUCUCCCGAGGUCAUCCGGUGAUUUCAUGCCAGUCUUUUGGGGUAUGAACAAUUAUCAAACCCAUGAUGAUGCCAGCCUGGGAAGUAGUCUAACAGAGCAUCUUUUCAGAACUUUUUGACGAAGUCAAGCAUAUCUCUCUUGUUCGCUUCUUGUCUUGAAGAGCUUAUGAUAGGAACUGAUUUGCCUAGGUUUGCCCUCAGUAAGCAGCCGAUCAAUUUAUUUACCGAAAGCGCCAUUCAUUAAUUUUUUGAGCACAUCAUCGUUGCACCUGUUUAGAGACACUGGACACUAUUGUUAAUUGUCAAAGACCAGUCUCCUCACUUGGUGUAUCUCAGC
Molecule: long non-coding RNA, 1302 nt
Organism: Asterias rubens (European starfish)
Lineage: Eukaryota; Metazoa; Echinodermata; Asteroidea; Forcipulatida; Asteriidae
Exons: 3
Source: RefSeq, a predicted model, not a curated record